CAGGGAGUCGGGGAGACCCGUAAUUUGUUAGUUUUUUGUAAGAAAGUUUCAGACAUGGCAAUUGGCACCGUCAAGUGGUUUAAUGAUUCCAAGGGUUUUGGCUUUAUCACUCCUGAUGAUGGCAGCGAAGACCUUUUCGCUCACUUCUCCGCCAUCAACAUGAAUGGUUUCAAGACUCUGAAGGAAGGUCAAAAAGUUUCCUUCGAUGUCGUGCAAGGCCCCAAGGGUAAACAGGCUUCCAACAUCCAGAGCACCUAAGUCUCGGAUCGCAGAAAAGCAAAAGCCCGCCUGAUUUAGGCGGGCUUUUUUC
Molecule: small RNA, 310 nt
Filed under: Dechloromonas denitrificans
Lineage: Bacteria; Pseudomonadati; Pseudomonadota; Betaproteobacteria; Rhodocyclales; Azonexaceae
Description: cspA thermoregulator
Rfam family: cspA thermoregulator
Source: Rfam by way of RNAcentral